This is a long non-coding RNA of Homo sapiens (human), 988 nucleotides long. RefSeq lists it as uncharacterized. NCBI's taxonomy places the organism in Eukaryota, Metazoa, Chordata, Mammalia, Primates, Hominidae. The transcript has 3 exons. The record is from RefSeq and is a predicted model, not a curated record.
GCCAUUUCCCUCCUUACACCCCUCCCAAUGGGUGACAGUUGGAAAGUAACUAGAGGCAAAGGAUACGGAUUAUGCAAAGAAGGAAGGAGAGUCUGAGAAGAAGGGCUUUUUUGGAAGGAGGGUUGCCAGGCCUGGAACAAGCACAUGCCUAGAGGAAAAUCCCAUACUACAUACAAGGAGGAAGCCCAGGCCAGCAGCCGUUUUGCCUCAACUUGCGCACUCAUUUCAACAUUUCUCAUCUAUAAGCAAGGACACCUCUGGAAGACGCAAGGCCUGGUAAAUAUUUUUGAUAUAAACUAUUUGAUGUACACUUUAAAUGGAUGAAUUGUAUGCUAUCUGAAUUAUACUUCAGUGAGGCUGUUAAAAACACUUGUGGUUUUUUUGUUUGUCUUUUUAGUUCCCCAGUACUAUUCUAGCAAUCCUGGGUCCCUUCUGGCAUGACUUCAUGAAAGAACCCAGGCAGGAGCAAUUCAGGCCACCUCUCUGAAAUUGGGCCCAGGCCACAGGCCCCUAGGAAAGCUUCAUAGGUUAAGCCCCAGAGCUCCUGGGGCAUCUGGUUGACCUCACACAUAUGGGGCAGAGGGCUGGAGAGCCAGAGAUCAUUCCACAGAGGAGAAAAUGGAGAUGUGGCCAAGUGGGUCCCGGUCUGAAUUGCAGACUGACAGGGACUUAGAAAAUUUCAAGGAUCAGUUGGAUAAAUUGAAUAUGUUAGGGAAAAAAAAGAAAAAAAGAAUUUCAAGAAAGGUGCUUCAAAGUGGAGGGGGUGGGGAGGCUGGAGAGGAAAGGCUGGGACAGUGGCCCCUCAUGCCCUGCUGUAAGGGCAGGUAUCACUACAAAUAAAAUGUUUCUUCAAAAAUCCUUGCCAUUAGUGUUCAUUGAACUCUAAUAAUGUCAUUCCUCUCCUGUGGAAUGUCUAUAAAUGCACACUUAUUGAACUGGGAAACUGAGUACAGCAGAAAUAGAAAGAGAUUUUAAAUCUAGGCUAUAA